RNAcentral lists this long non-coding RNA (28537 nucleotides) under Lactuca sativa (garden lettuce). RNAcentral describes it as "long non-coding RNA (LSAT_LNC003968)". The record is from RNAcentral. Lineage: Eukaryota; Viridiplantae; Streptophyta; Magnoliopsida; Asterales; Asteraceae.
GAAUCAUGCAAGUUGUAUAGCAUGAUGAAUGAGAACUUUCAAGUUUUGGAAAAUUAAGACUAAUUACUUGUUCACAUGGAUGUGUGAGUCAAGUAAAGGACUAAGGGAUCGAGUACACAUUCUUGUGCACUGAUUAAGUCCACCACUAAAGAUCGAUAAGAAGAAUCAAAUAAGGCAGAAGGAUAAAAGUUUCUCAAAUCUGAAAAGAUGGGAGAGUACUUUAGUAUCAGUUUUGUGAUCAUCUUAAUGAUUAAGAAACCAUAUCAAAAUUAGUUCUCUAAGGAAAUCUUAGUGCAUUCUUAUGACUAAGAAGAGGAACUUGAAUUGUUGAAAUGGUUAAAUCAAGAAGAUGAGUCAUACUUCGUUCCAAUACAAGUCUUAGAGUCAUACUCCAAGAUUGUCAUUUGAGUGACAUGUCUUAAAGAAGGUUUAAAACACUUGUCAAAUGUAAGAGUAAAAGUUUUCUACUCUUGUACAUUUGAAAUUGGUAAGUUGUGAUGUUUUGGAUAAAACAAAGACCAACUUAGGCCAAUUGGGUAAAGUGUUUUUCUUGAUUAGAAUCCGCACUAUCUCUUGGAUGUUUGACAAGGGAGUCUUAUAUGUCAAGAGGACAGUGGGAGUCUUAAAGGUCUUGAAAGUCUCAAGAAAUAAUCAAGAAUAAAACCUAAAGUUCUUCACUAGCACACGACUUGAGGUUUAUAACCUAUCGUGUUGACAUAUCUGUGCCCAUUCCAGUUAAAGUUGGCUUUGCAUAUGAGUUCUUAGAGUUCUCAGUUUGUUGCAUAACAACUUGGAAGCAAUGGCAGGCCCUUGAGCUGCCAGGUGGCAAGAAGUUAAGAUUGAGUUCAAUCCAUAUGGUUUUGGAUUUGUCAUUAUCUUUGUCUUGUGAUUAUGGUUUGACAAAUUCAUAUGGGUAGGAACUCAUACACCAUAUAAAUCUAAGUGUCAUAAGGUUUCUCUCCGAUUCAUGAAAAUGAUGGUGAGGAAACGCUUUCACUAAGUAGAUUUUACGAAGAUAUCAAUUGUGUUAUUUGCAUUUUCAAAAGUCGUUAGUGGAGCGCGUGUGGUUAACCGGCACACUAACAUGGACUUGUGAGAAAUGGCAAAUGCCUAAGCAAUUGAGACCAUGAUUACGGUAUCCCUUUUCAUGGUUCUUGAAAUUGCUUAGACACACAGGUGAGCUAUCUACGGAAAGGGUGUAUGAAUCUAAAUUUCAGACUGUCCAGCUGAUUUCUGAGUACAUGUCAAAGCUAGUGGGAGCAUAAGUGUUAUGCUAAUAAUCAUCAUGUUAGUGGGAGCAUGAUAAUUAUGAUAAGUAUUGCAAGUUAGCAAUGUUAAUUAUAGAAAACAAAAGUUUCAAUUGGGAAAAAGUUGUUUUGCUAUAAUUAAGGGAGAGGAAAUUAUGCUUCAUCUCAAAUCUAUAAGCUUAGAUCGUGAGGUUUUAAUCAUUUAGUCAAGGAUAUAUAUGAAUUUCAUGUUGGAAUGGCUCAACAUAAGGAAAUUCUGUAUAUGGGUCCAUUAUUUGCGUUCUAAAAUUCGAUUAUGAUUACGGCAUCCCUUUUCAUAAUCUGAAUUAUGAGAACUUGGCAAAUUGAAAUGGAAAUAUUAUAGCAAAAGACUGGUUUAGUCUUUAUGUAAGACAUCAUGAAUCGUGUCCCAUAUGCUUCGGAUAUAGGAUCGAUUACAUGUGCUAUAUUCAUCCGUUCUAAAAUUUUCCAAAUGCCUGGGGCAUUAAGAAGGGAAAAGGUUUAGAACUGGAUAUGACUAAAAGGAUUAAACAAUUGUCGAGGACAAUCUAAGGUUUACCAAAGAUUGGUUACUCAAGGACAAUUGGAAGUAUAGUGAUAAUUCUGGAAGGACCAUAUUGACAUAAUCUGUAAGGAGGCAACUCUUGUUCAGAAGUGAUAGUCAAAAUGGAAUCUGGAAAUGUUUCAAAGUUAGAAUUUUCAAUCUGUGUAAGAUUAAGGAAACUUAAUGCAAGAAGGAUAUUUCCAAGGAGUUGAUCUCCUUUGGAAUACUCUGUAAUGAUUGUUGCCAAGUCUUUGUGACUUUGUGCAUAAUCAUUACAAGAGGAUCAAUGCAUAUAAGUUUAGAAUCUAACAGAUUUCAGUAAAUGGCAUGAAUUUGGAAUUCUUGCAUUUGCAGUAAGGAUUUGGGAGUGUGAAAAGAGAAUCAUUGAAGUUAUGUUCAAUUGAUCUAGUUCACAAAGUAAAGAUCAUAGACAAACAUAGUAUGCAUACUUGGUGUGUGGCAUGACUAGUGUUUAAGAAAACAUAGUGUACAUGCUUGGAGCAUGGGACAACUAUUGUUUUAAAUUCAAGAAUAAAGUUGAUAGCUGAAACAGUAUACAAUGAAUAAUGUGUAAUCAUAUGGUGAUAAAUAAAAGGUGUUUUAUUUAUGUUCAAAGGGUUGAUACCAUAUUGGAUUCAAUUAUUAUUGUGUUUCAUUUUGCAUGUUUUGACUUCCCGAAUAAACUGGGUUAUUCUUCCGGAAUGACUAAGUUAUUCAAACCAUCCACAGUCGGUCAUAUGUUGGAAGUAGAUAUGAAUUAAGACUGUCAUGGGUUGGCUUGUAGAGGUCUAAGGUGUUGGACAAAGGGCUACAACACUCAUGAGUGCUCAUAAGUUCUGAGUAUUGGAUUCAACCCGCGCUCAUUGGAAUCACUUCAUGGAUUUUAUCACGAGUGAUCAUGAGACGAUAAUAUCUUAUAUUCUUCAAACCUAGAGAUAUGAGUUGUUACUAUGAGUUGAUAGUACAUUGAUUGCACGAAAACGCAUUUGGUAACUCGGUGCUAUAAAACGUGCCUUUGUGUAUGAUUCAACAAGUAGUAGAACAAGCCAUAUGAGUCGAAGUUUAUCCAUUCCUUUUACCUUCGGGAUAAAAGCGAUAUCUGUGGGCCCCUCGAUGAUUUGAUGAUGACAAAUGGAAGUGCUCGGCCGGGCCAGGACUGAUUUGAUUUGUUCAAUUAGUCAGUCGUCAUAAAUCGGAAAUCGGGAAACAACAAAUGGACAGAGAGAAUGAUUAUAAUCCAUGUCUCAGUCCAUAUGAUAUCUAGAAUGGAGGAAUAUAUGAUCCCUUAUCUAAUGGACAAGUCAUUGACAAAGGUCAGAGUUCAUCUACAAGGUCAGAGUUCGACAGAAGCUUUUGAGAGCUACGAUUGCCGGUUGGUUCCUGAAGUCAUACGCAAUAAUAGUUUUAGACUUAUCCAAGUGGGAGACUGUUGGAUUAAUGUCUAAGUCCAUAACUAUAUUUGGUAAGACUUGACCCGACCCGGCAUGGUCCAUUUGGGUUGCAUACCAUCAUGCACUUGAAUGAGAGAAAUAAGACACUUAUGGUUAUUAAUAUAUUAUAAGUUCUAGUAUAUUAAUGAUAAGAAUAAUAAGAUUAUUUAAUUAGUAUUGAUCAAGAAUUAAUCUAGGAUUAGUUAAGUGAUCAAAAGAAGACUAAUUAAAUAUAUGGGUUGAUUGUGUAAAUCAUCCAUACUUGUAUAGUGGGCUAAUGCUCCAUGGAUAAUCAAGUUGGGCUAAAACCCAUAGGAUGGUCCAUGGAUGCUCCAUGGUGUAUUUGUACCCAUGGAUCCAAGGAAAUGGAAAGUCAUGACAAUUAGGGUUUUCCCUAAUUGUAACACUAUAUAAGCAUCAUAUUAUUCACCAAAAUCGGCACUAGUGGGUGUACUAGAAGGGCUAGCCGAUUUCAUGAAGUGUGGGUUUUCUCUCAAGUCAUUCCAAGUGUUUUGAUGAUUGUGAUUCCAUUUGAGGUGUCACACUUGGGGCACUAGGCACUCUAGCUUCAUGAAGACUUUCUUCUCCAAAGAGGUAUGUAUUCUAUCUUUCUAUAGUCAUUGUUUUGUAUGCUAGAUUAGGAUAAUACCUUGGAAGUUCUUAUUUGCAUGUAUAAUAGAGAAAACAUAGAUCCAAGGUAUUUAGGGUUGCAUGUACACUUAGGAAGUGUUAGAAUGCUCAAAACCUAACAGUUAGUACAACAGUAGUUACUAAAACAUAAUACUACAGAACUUCAUUAUUUUCCCCAUUACAUCUACUCUGUGAUCAUUCCACAUAAACGGUAAUGUGAAAACUAUAUUUUAUUAAAUGAUAGUCACAUUUAGGAGAAAAACUCACUUUUACAAUGAACAAACAUACAUCACAUUUGAUGCCUUGGUAGAAGGCUACUUUUAGUAGAAAAUAUAGGAUUUUCUAGGAGAUACAAUCAAUUACUACAAACUGUUACAAACUGAUACAUCAUAUACUUACAAAGAUUUUCAUACAAACAAUGACACUAAAAUGCUUAUGAACUCACCGGGUUUAAAGCUGAUAAACUCUUUCAAAAUAACUUGUAUUCUCAGGUCAUCAGUAGACAGGUACCGAUGCCAGGUUUUGAGAAUACGGAGCUCGUUCAAGACUCAUCUCUUAUUUUGAUUUACAUUUUGGUGUCUUUUAAACUUCACAGAACACACUUGUAUUAAAUUAUAUUAUUAAUGCAAUGGAUAAUGUUGUUUCUUGUUUACUAUUAUUCUGUGUUGUGAUAUUGUACAUGACGUCCUCCACCCCCGAAAGUUGCCGUCGUUCCGGUUUUGGGGUGUAACACCUACAUGUCUCGACUUCCCAUUAUAUACCGCAUUAUCCACUUUAGACAGUGUGGACUCGUUGUCACAGUACAUGGGUAUUAAAGGCAUUGUAAUAUCCCACAAACGGAUAUCCAUAAGUAAAUCUCGAAUGCAGUAUGCCUCCUUGCCCGCUGCCGCUAAGGUAAUUAGCUCCGCUUCCAUCGUUGAAUGAGUUAUGCAUGUCUGUUUCUUGCUCACCCAAGAAAUAGCACCACCAACUGCAGUAUAAAUCCAACCAUUUGUGGAUUUUGAAUCGCUAGUGUAAUCAAUCCAGUUGGCAUCGGAAUAACUUUCAUGUAUUCCAUUAGAUGAUGAAUACGUCAACUCAAAAGUACUUGUCCUUUUCAGCUACACUAGCAUGCUACCCAUUGCCUUCUAUUGCUCCAUCCCUGGAUUAACAGUAUAUUGAAUCAGUUUUCUUACAGCAAAUACGAUAUUAGGUCGAGUGCAGUGAGUAGCCUACAUCAUGCUUCCAACUGCACUAGCAUAUUCUAGUUGAGCCACAGCUCGACUAGAAUUCACCUUAAGUUUCACACUUGAAUCAAAAGGAGUGUUGAAUUCCUUAAUGUUCAAAUUUUGAAACUUUGUCAGAAUUUUCUCUAUGUAAUGAGAUUGACUCAGAGAAAUCUGACCACCUAUCCUUUUCACCUUGAUACCAAGAAUUGUAUCAACUUCUCCAAGAUCUUUCAUCUUAAAGUUCGAGGAUAGGUAUUUCUUCGUCUCAAGAAUACCUUCUAGGUAAGUGCUAAUGAUCAACAUAUCAUCAACAUAAAGAAAUCUAACUACGAUGUAAUCGGAUGUAUGUUUAGAAUAAAUACACCUAUCAACACUAUUGUGCUGAAAACCAAAAGUAGUCACACUGGUGUCAAAUCUCUCAUGCCACUGUUUGGGAGCUUGCUUCAACCCCUACAAGGAUUUAACAAGUCUACACACUUUGUUUUCUUUUCUAGGUAUCACAAAACCAUUAGGUUGCUCUAAGUAAAUCUCCUUAUUGAGAUAACCAUUUAGAAAGGCUGUCUUCACAUCCAUUGAUGAAUGCACAAUCCUUUCAAAGCUGAAAUUGCUAUGAGAGUUCUAAUAGAAGUAAUCCUAGCAAUGGGGGCAUAGGUAUCAAAAUAAUCGAUACCUUUUCCCUGCCUAUAGCCCUUAAAAACUAAUCUUGCUUUAUAGGCAGAUAUGGAUCCAUCUGGAUGAUACUUUCUCUUGAAUAUCCGUUUGGAUCCUAUGGGUUUUCUCCCGUUGGGUAGAUCAGGUAACUCCCAAGUUCCAUUACCCAUGAUUGAAUCCAUUUCAUCAUUGAUGGCUUCCUUCCACAAAAGGAGCAUCUCUAGACGUCAUGGCUUCAGUAAAGGUCUUAGGAUCAUCAUCCAAAUUAAUGGUAAAGAUGACCUCUCUCGUCACUUUCUUUUGUGUUCCUUCGACCAAAUAAGAAUAUAAAACGUCUCCAAAACUUUUCUCUAUUGUAGCCCUAGUACUUCUCCUUGGUUCCUCUACAAAAGGAGGAUGUGGGAGUAUUUCUCGAGAAGUACUUGUAGGUGUUGUAUGACUGGAGUUUUCUUCAUCCCUAGAAAACUUGUCCUCAAAGAAUUCCACAUCAAUACCUGAUUCAAUAUCUAAUAACCGAUAAGCCUUGCUAUUGUGAGCAUAUCCAAUAAAUAUACUCUUAUUAUCUUGUGCUCCUAAUUUGGUUCGCUUAGGAUCGGGAGUCCGAUAGUAAGCAACACACCCCCACACUUUCAAAUAGUCUAGGUUAGGCUUUCUACCUUUCUACAACUCAUAAGGGCUUGUAGGAAUCACACGACUAGUGAUCCUAUUAUGAACAUAGCAAACAGUCAAUAGUGCUUCCCCCCACAAAUUGUUUAGUUGACCCGAUUGGUUCAACAUAAGGUUGACCAUCUCACAAAGGGUUCGGUUCUUUCUUUCAGCCAAACCAUUAUGUUGGGGAGUAUAUGGUGGAGUUCUCUCAUGUAUGAUUCUGUUCUCUUCACAGAAUAUAUCAAACUCUUGGUUGAAAUAUUCCCCGCCCUAUCCAAGCGAAGAAUUUUGAUGUGUCUUUCAAGUUGAUUUUCGACCUCAGCCUUAUAUCGCUUAAAUGCAUCAAAAGCUUCAUCUUUUGAUCUCAGCAAACAAACAUGUAGAUAUCGACUGAAGUCAUCACAUAAUGUGAUAAAAUACCUUUUUACUCCUCGAGUAAGGAUUCCAUUUAAUUCACAGAUAUCAUAAUGAGUCAACUCAAGCAAUGAUGUGUUUCUCUUAACUAAUGGGAAUGGUUUCUUAGUGAACUUUGAUUUCACACAUGUUUCACAUUUUUUGAAAUCUUUUUUGUCAUAUUUUAACAUUCCUUUAGUUUGCAUCUUUUCAAUAUUUUUAGCAUUAGUAUGUGCUAAACGUUUAUGCCAUAAAGAAAUUGAACAAACAAAAUAACCAGGAAAGUUCACUUGCAACACGAGAACCACCAAUCUCAACACUAGGACCACUCAUACUACCCUCAUCACUAAGGCACAAACGAUACAUCCCUGCACAAUUGUUCUCCCUCCCAACAUAUCUUCUACCUUUAGUGAUUGCAAUUUUGCCUCAUUCAAGAACCAUCUUGAACCCACCUUUGUCAAACUUGUCCGUAGAAACCAAUCCCUUCGAGAUAGUAGGAAUGUGAAGAACAUCUCAACGGGUUACCCAUUCACCACAAGUGAACUUCAAACAGACAUCACCUCUUUCUUGAACUUCGGCUCUGUGGCCAUCAACACAGACGACGACUGUCCCAGGUGGCAUUGGGUGGUAAGUGCAGAAGUUUUCUCAUUGCCCACAAACAUGCGUAGUGGCUCUAGUAUCCAAGAACCAUCAUUGAGCACCGAUUUCUCGGGUAAGGGGGUACAUCAUAAAAAUCUCUCCAAGGUUCACAAUUGCCACCAUGUCAGUCACCUGCUCAACAACAUGUGCUACCGAUCCUGAUUUGCGAUCCUUGCAUUCUCUCGCAUAGUACCCAAUCUGUCUGCAGAUGUGGCAAGGUCCGACCCUAUUUGGCUUUGAGUUAAGAUUCUGAUGACCUGAUUUCUUGAAGUUUUGUUUCUUAGGUCCCAAGUUCUUCUUGUUUUGUCCCCAAGACUUGGCUUUGUGACUAGAACCCCCAGCUAACACGUGAUGCAUACUCUAUCUGACUUUACCAUGCUUGCCCCUGAUGCGAGUUUCCUCCUCAAUGUAGAGGUGUUUCAUCAUAUCAUCCAAGGAGUAGUCCUCAGAUUUAUGCAUCAUUCUCUUAGAGAAAUCUUUCCACGAGGGUGGUAGUUUUGUGAUAAUCGCACCAACCUGAAAGAGUUCUGGAAUAGAGAUGGAGAGUGCGUUCAACUUGUUGACCAUGACUUGGAGUUCAUGCACUUGCUCCAUAGCUCUCUUGGAUCUUGGACCAGCACGUAAAGAUCAUAGAGCCGAUCAGAUAGGGAGUUCUUGAUGUGACCCACACACAGUUCUUCAGACUCUCUAUGCUGAGUCUUGCUUUUCUAGUCCUACGAUGACCGCUGGGUCCACAGUUUUCCCCUCCUCGGGAAUUGGAUUAGUAGGAAUUGGUGUCAGUUCUGGGUCCAACAAAAAUGCGAGCUUCAAAACAUGAAGCAUGAACUUGACAUUCUCAGCUCAACGGGUGUAGUUCUGACCAUCAAACUGAUCAAGUUUGGCAAACUCUUGGUUCAUGAGGUGGAGGCUAGUAGUAGUGUCCAUUAGUCUGUCGAUUUAUCAUAAUAAAAAACCUUUAAGAAUGUUGUAAAUCAAACUAAUAGGCGUGCAAGGAAACGACAAAUAAUAUUGAAAAUUACAUGUCGAUUAGUUGCGAAUAAUAGAUCCAAUUAUUAUUAAUAUAUUUACCAAGUUUGGUUCAGAAACCAGAUCUACCCUUCUCGAUUAGAUCUGAUUAUAAGAAAGGUAGAAGAAGACUGUCCUGUUGCUGGAUGAAAGUAAAUGCAAGACAGAAAAGUAAAAUGGAUCUGUCGAUGACUAAUCUUGAACUUCAAAUAACUAUACGGAUCGGACUCCUGUCCUUAAAGGUUUUUACUUCGCUUCUACUGGUUGUAAGCAACAGAGUAAAACCCAAGGAUAUAAUGCAGAUCUAUCUAUUUUCCAACAAUACUGAAGAUCGAUAGACACAAAGCGAAUACUCGAAAAAAGGAAGAAAAACGCAAGCGAAUACUUGAAAAAAGGAAGAAAAACGCAGAGAGUGGGAAAGAGCUUCAAUUUUUUGUAAGAGGUUAAUAUGGUUUCCAAGGGAGCAAUAUUUAUAAGUAUUGAAACCCUAGAAGACAUGAACCCUCACAAGGGAAUAAGCUUAUAAAGCCAUAAAAGUUUCUUCCACUCACCAAUAUGGGAUACAAAGGAAAUUGCCAACUUGCAAUUCAUUUAUAUAUAUAUAUAUAUAAAGUUCCAACACAAAUAAGGCAUAAAGAAUAAGGAACAUCAAUAUCCCGGUCUACCAAAUUUGUGUGAGUAGGAAUCAUAUACAUAUGAACUCUCCAUAUAAGAGUACUUACUUUUUUUGUCAAGAAAAAAUUCCAUCUAGUUUCCACCCCCUGAGUUAGGAUGUGUCAACUCAACAAUCCAUCUUCUAGUGCCGGUUAGUGAAAUUUCCAUCUAUACCAAAAUCUCACCACCAUCUAUCAUGUAGAUCUUAAAAGAACCACUUCUUGAAGGCAGCUAAGAAAUUCAUUAAAUUGCCUAAGUUCCUCAUCGAUAUUAAUCUGAUGCCUCCGAUUCCAACUCCAGACCCCAUCUACAAAUCUAUCAGCAAUUGAACAAUCUUUAUCAAGUUCCAACCGGAACAAUCUUGGAAAUGACAAGAAGGCACUUGAUUAUCAACCCAAUUAUGAUACCAAAACAUAGUAUACAUACCAUUACCAAAUUUUCUUUUUAAUAUCGAGUUUACCUGCACUCCCAGUUUAUGAAGGCGAGAAAUCGAAGUCACAAUCCGAACCCAUGGUCCAGCCCGCAUGCUUCAAUUUUGAGAAAAAUUGAAGCCCCCAUUGACACCAUUUAAUUCCUUAACAACUUUGACCCAAAACAAAUUUUCAUGAGUAAAGAAUCUCAACCUCCAUUUUUGUAAAAGAUCAAAAUUAAAAGCAAUCAAACUGUGAAUACCAAGACCUCCUCAAGUUUUAUCCACAAGUUCUAUCUUUUAUAAGAUUGUUAUGUUUUCUUUCAUUCGAUAGCAUAUAUAAAAAUUCUAAACUUAAAGUCAAUUAGUUUGCUUGAUUACAGAACCUUAUGUUGGCUCUGAACUAUGUGCUAUUGUGUGUUUCGUGUUGAGCUACUUGCCAACUCCAAUAAUACAUGCAUUUAAAAAAUACACUGGUUUAUUUAUGUCAGUAUUUAUGAUCUGUUUGUUACCUUUCAUCGUAAGGAAUUUCAAUAUGAUCAUAUUUGUCAUAUAUGGUAACGAAAGGAGAAAUUAGUCGACGUAGUUUGAUGGAGUCUUUUCAAAUGAAGCUUUUUGGUUUUAUUUUCUUUUUGUGAUAAGUCAUGAUACGAAAACGCACUAAGCCAACCAUUAUGUUUAAUCAUCAUAAGCACCUUAAGAUAAGAUAUUUGCAAUUAAUUAUAUUUAUAGUAUUUUUACAACGUGCGUUCGGUACGGAACGUUUGAGAGAGUUUUAGAAGUUUUGCUUUCUGGCAUAUGAUAAAACCCUAGAUUUUGAAGAAAACACCCCAAAUACAAAUGCAAAAGCUAGUUUAGAUAGCGUUUAACAAAACGAUACAUGCUGUCGGCUACCGGCUACAUGCUAACGGUCAACCGUUACCGCUACCCGUUAUAUGCUACCAGUUAGUUUACCAAAUACGCCCUAACUCAUAUAGUCAGUUAACUCAAGUUUAACUAGAUGGUGUUAAUAUAAGUUCGAACCUAUUUCGGUAGAAAUACCGAACACGCCCUAACUCAUAUAGUCAGUUAACUAGACGGUGUCAAUAUAUUUGUUGUGGUUUAAAAAACUAGAUUAUGACCCGCGUUAAACGCGGGGAACACAUAAAUAAAAUACAAAUUUAUAUAGAUAUUACAAAAUAAUUAUAAAAAAACAGGGUUAUUGGUAUUAUUGAAAUCUGUAGAAAUUACACUAAAAUAGAUAAAUAUAUAUAACGUCGAAAGACCUUUUUAUAGACAAUAUUUUUUGUUUUAUUAGUUCAAUGACCUUGUUUGUCGCAUAUAAGUAUCUUCAAACAUUUUUACUUGUGACACGGAAAACAACUAUAUACAGCCAACCAUGCAUGAAAAUGGGUCUAAGCAAGUAUAAUCCAGCAUUUGACAAUGUAUUUUCAAAAUAUAUUGUUAUUUUAUAGCUACAUUGCGAAAUAUAACUGUUUAUUUCAAAAAAUAACAAGUUAUUUAUGUUCCUUCAAAAUGAACCACAUAAAACCUCCCACAAAGAAACUAUAACCAAUAAAUCUGCAACGAAACUAAUCAUCCCCUUCCACUUCAUCUCUAAUAUCAGGUCUUUUUUUUUCCUUAAUCUGAGUUGUUGUCAUUAUCAUCGACAAUGUUAAGAUUUAUUGAUGACUUCUUUUUUAUUUUAGGGAUAACUAUGACAUAAAUCGUUUAUCAGGUCCAUCAUUUAUGUUUAUAUCUUCGUUGUUUUUUUGUUGAUUUUGAUAUGCCUUCUUCGGUUUACCACCAUCUUUAUUUUUUUUCAGAAUCCUUUUUUUAUGAAAUAACAUUUUUUUUGUGAAAUUCGUUCUACAGUUUUUAGUAUGUGUAGGUACGUUGAUUUCUUAGAAGUAAAGAAAGUAAGGUUUUUGUUCGAUGUUGGUUCCUAGGUUUGGUUCUUAUUUUUUGUGAUUUCUCAUAAUCCAUUGCGUUUUAUUUUCCAUCUUUAUCUACAAUCUUUUAAGUAUAGAACAUUUUAUUCAUAUAUUCAUUCACUACAGAGUUUAAUAAAGGAAAAAAGAAACACCCCCUUAGUUUUAUUUACUUUGCAGAUCAUCGAGCCUCCAUGCAAAGCUUACAACAUAAUGAAAAAAAAAACAAAAAACCCUUAUGAGGUCAAUGCCAAUUACGAUUCUAACCAUUUUCCUCUUGUAACAAUUGUCUCACUUUAAUACUUCAAAACAUCUGUUUUUGUGUUUAAACAUAUUAUUGAUAGCAUGAAGGAUCCAAGCAUUGUUGCAUUUUGGUUAAUCAUAAUGCCUCAAAUUAUGGGAGGAUGUAAAGAUGAUGAUGAGGUCAAACAUAUAAUAUGAUGAUAAUAGAAGGUUCGUCUUCUUCUUAUUUAUUUAUUAACUUAUUUUUUAAUUCAACUUUAUUACAAAAUUAAAAAGCUUUUUUUUAUUGAUAUUAGAGUUUCUUAUUUAGAAAAAUAUGCGCUAUGAUCAGCUUCUUGAUGCUAUAGCUAUGAGAAAACUUGGAUGAGCAGGAAGUGAGAUAAAUUUAUAAUUUAUUAACUUUAAUGAGUAAUUAACUAAUUACAAUUUUGUUAUUGAAUUUGAAAUACAACAGGGAUUAUAUCAAUGAAUCCUGAACGUGCAAGAAAUGAUCCAGUAGUAGCAAAGAACAUUCGUUACUAUAAAGCAAAGAGCAAAUUAGAGGCAGAAGUGAUGAAGCUCUAUCCACCACCAUGAUCUCAAAUCUAUGUGUGUGUCUGGGGGGUGGUGGGGGGUCAGUAUAAACAAAAGUUUUUUCAUUUAUUUUUAGUAAUUUACAAAUUUGAUCCCUUUGUUUAGUUGUCGGUUUUGGUCCCUAAAAGAAUCAAGUUGUAGUUUUUGGACCUUGUUUCACUGUUUCAUAAAACUUUUAUGAUUGCCUAAGUUAACAGUCUAACUGUUAUUUUUUUUAAAUGACCAUUUUGCCUUUGAACCAAAACUAAAAACCAUAUAGCAUAACAACAAAAUUUAUAUUUUUCUUUUCUUUUUUUUUCUUUUUUUACUUAAGUUUAGAGUAAAUUACAUUUUUGGUCCUUGAGUAUACCUGAUUUUUUUUUUUCAAAAGAUUAUAAGGGUGUUUUUGGUGUUUCAGGGUCAAAUGCUGACUCUAGUUUAGUACACACUUCUAUUAUACCGUGCAUUCUUACCUGCCCAUGUAUGGUACCGAUUCUUUUUUAACAAAGAAUACGAGUGCUUAUUUUCAUCAUUCACAAGAUGUUUAUAUUUAACUUUAAAGCUCAUAUUAAUUGUUGAGAAGGUAUAUUUCUUAUUGUUAUUCUNAUUGCGUAUCAUUAACACGCACGUCGUAAGGUUACGACACGCGAAUGCGUGUUAUCUUCCUUUAUGUCAGGGCCUUCCUUGAUACGCAUUGCCUGUCGUAAAGGCGCGUCGUAAAUGAGCGUCGUCUAUAGACGACGCGCAAAAGUGCGUCGUCUCUCUUUAUGACAGGGCCUUCCUUGACGCGCAUUUGCGCGUCGUCUGAGCCAUUUACGACGCGCAAUGAGCGUCGUAAAAGGCUGUUUUUCUAGUAGUGAUAAAAAACAACAUUAUAUAUCCAAAUUAUAAGUAUUCAACAAAGAAACAUACGAAUAAGUAAAAACAUAUAAAUUCAAAAACAAUAUCAAAUUUAUAGAUUAAAAGGAUUUAACGAAGAAGUACAUACAUUUAUUCGACUAAUCCGACUGAUUGGAAGGUUGAAGUUUUUUUUGCAUUUGUUUUCUGCGGAGGAUUUAUGACAUAAUGUUUGUGUAAAUCUACCCUAAUAAAUAAGAAUGGUUUUGCCACAUGUCAUUCUCUCAUUCAAUUGGCCACAUGUCAUUUUGUCAUAAUUUUGAGAUAUAUUUAUUUUCCACUUGUCAUUUACUUCAUUUUUUAUUUCCAAUAUAUCAUUAAUAUAACUUCCAUAAAUUAAACCUACCAUAAUGACUGUUAAUUUCAAAUUUCAAAUUCUAAAUUUUAAUUUCAAUUUCAAAUAAAUUUACAAUUUAAACCUUUGUGUUUAGCAUUUUUUUUAUAAUUACCCGUUUAGUACACAAAUUUGAUAACUAAACACAUAAUUUUAAUUUAUUUAUUUUUUUGCAUGUUUUUUCUCAUAAUUUUCAGUUAUCUCAAAAUUCAAAUUCAAAUAAAUUUUCCAUUUAAUCAUUUAUAUUAACAUUUUGUUUAAUCAACCCGUAUAAUAUACGGGUCUCACACCUAGUCGAUUAUUAAAAAGGUUUGAAAUAUAUAUACAAGUCAAUAUGAUGAAAAUUAGUAGGUAAUCAAUUGAAAUCUCAUUUAAACUUAAAAUAAAAGAUAUCAUGCUUGAAAGUGUAUUGGUUCAUAAUAAUAUCUAAAACUUUCGAAAUUUGAAAUUAAUAGUUUCCGAGAUUUCAACAUAUAAUAUAUUUGGAAAGCAAUUUUGAAUGCAAAUAAAACCUAAAUUUAAGGUUUACAUUAAUAACGAACCAAUUUUGUAGUUGUAAGUUUGGAAAGAAUUCAAGUAUCAUUUUCAUUCAAUUCCUACAUUUUAUUUCCUAAUAUAACAGGUUGACUUCUUGUUUGAUCAAGAUGACGUAAGCAAAUUGAUCUAAGGGUGUAAAAGUUAUAAAAAAAAACACAAUCAACGACUCAAAUUGUUUUAGAUGAUGUCAUAAAAUUUCUCUUUUAAUAAUAUUUAGAGAUAAAAGAAUUCAUCCAAAAUAUAUACGGUGUAUGUUUGUAUCAAAAAAUUUCAAGGUACUUAAUCGAGAUGCGUAGUUAUUAAUUAUUAGUACAAAAUCGUUUCUUGUUCAUCUUUAACAUUAAGAUAUAAAAGUAGACUUUAAAAGAUACGUUCAAAUAUUUACACAACAACUAUAUGGGCACAAUAUUGUUUAAUGAUAUAUAGUAUUGUAAAAGAAAACCUGCUAGAUUAGGUAAUAAUAACUAAUAUAUAAUGAUUAAAAAGUAGCAAAUUUAAUUUUGGUUAGGACUUUGUCAAAAAUCAACAUAGCAUAAAUACAAAAACAUUGAAAAUGACACUUUUUUGUAUUCACAUUUUAGUGAAGACAACAGAUCGAUUUCUCCUUCUAACUUUAUCACAUAUAUACAUUAUAUUAAUUUUGAAUUUUUGCGAAAAAAUAAAUUCUUAAAAAUUACCACCUAAUUUUAUACCACGCAGACCGAUACAAAUAAAUUUCUGCUACCAACAAAUGUGUAUUUUUUUUAUCUAUAGCAAAUAUUUUUAAAAAAAUAUCUUUUUGAUAACCAAUUUGAAAUGUUUAAAAUCGUGGAUUUGUAGCUAACACUCAUAAAUAAGAUCUUGAAAAACUUUUAAGAUGCAUGAUUUUAUGAAAGGCUUCGUGCCCAUGCAACAUGACAUAAUAUUGAGUAAAACUCAAUUACCUAGUUCUAGUGAUGAACAAGAAAAGAUGAGUUGAGUCACAUAUGUUUCUACCAUACCAACGAUCAUGUAUGUCAUGGUAUGUACUCGAUCUGCUGCUCAUAUGCCUUGAGCAUAACGAGUCGUGUCAUGCCAACCUAAUCGAAAAUCAUUAGAUCAGGGUCGAGAACAUUCUCAUGUAUCCUAAUAGGACAAAAGUUUUGUUCUUGGUCUAUGGUGGUAUGGAAGAGCAAAGUGGAAAGGGUUAGCUGAGUAGAGGAGCAGUGACUUGGAAGAGUUCAUGUUGGGAUAACAAUAAAACAAGUUAUGCACUUCAGACAAAUGUCAAACAAACUUUGGUGUAAGUUGCAAAAUAAAACUUCCAAAAUCUUAAAUCAAAUCCGAACACAAUAUCUAACGUGUUUCGAUCAAUGUGACCUACGCCCACAUGCGAAUGAGAGAUAAUAUUUUAUUAACUUUCUGUAACUAUUACAAACACUUUAUUUUGUAUCUCAAUUUUAUCUCUCAUUGAAAACUAGCAAAUAAAAAUGAUGGGGAUAUAAACAUAUUUAUUGGUAAGAAUGGGAAACCCUAAUUCUAAUGGUUCAAGCGCACAAAGGGGUGCCCUAAUUUCCAUACAGAAUGUCAUGCAGGCAUUUCUAGAACCUUCAACCUCAUGAGCACCAACUAUAUACAUUAUAGGGCAUCAAGAGCCAUAAUGGAGCAUCACCAACCAUCUUGAUGAUGCAUUAAGGCAUAUAAAGCAUCCAUCUUGAUCAUCCAUGGAUAAUAUUGAGCAUCCUAACAAAUCAUGCACCUAAAUGGUGCAUCAAGAGCCAUGAAGGCUCACCAUGAACCUUGAUGGCACAUAAUGCUCCUUGAUGGCGCAUCUUUGUUCCUGUAUGGCACAUCCUUACUCCUAGAUGGUGCAUCCUGAAUCCUAGAUGGCACAUCCUUGCUUGAUGAUCAUCUCCAACACCUUAACACUCCCGAAACGCAUCAAGGCAGACAAGGGUGGCACGCCUAGUAGCAAAGUGGUGCAGCUUGAUCAUAGGUGGCACGCCUUAUGCGUGGAUGGUACACCUUGUGCCAAAGGUGGCACACAUUGUAACAAAGGUAGGGCACCUUACGUAAUAGUGGCACAUCACUAAUGCCUUAUUCUGUAUGAUUAGUGUAUAUAUCCAUAACUAUAAUUGGUAUGUACUUGACCCGAGAGUAGCAUGGUCCAUUUGGGUUACAUGGCACAAGAACAAUCUAAAGGAUGGAUAACUGAGAAGAGGUUAUUGAUGGUGUAUUAAUAUACAUGGUUGUAGAGCUCACUACUCGGUACCUACUCGACCGACUACCGAGUAGCGAGUACUCGGGAGUACUCGGGGAGUACUCGGAUUCGGUAACUCAUAUAGAAAUAUUUUUAGGAAAUUAUAUCUGUCAAAAUCAUAAGUUAAACAAUAAUUUGAAUGAAAUAUAUAACAAAAUUAGAUACAUGUGAAUACACAAAAACUAAAAAAACACACUAUGAUCCCACUUCGUGAAUAAUUAUUAAAGAUUUAAGAUAUAUAUGUAGUAAUAAUCACAUAUGUGUGUGUUAGAUAAUAAGUCAUUAAGUAUACUAUACAUAUUAAUCACCGAGUUGGCCGAGUUUUACAAUAGUGCUCGCUUCAAUAAGGGGCAGAUCAGGGAGUACUCGAAUUUUGUGACUCGCCUAAGUAAGGGGCUGAGUAGCGAGUACUCGGACAAGUACUCGGGCAAAUUGGUGAGUUUUACUACACUCUCAAUAUAUUAUAAGUUCUAAUAUAUUAAUAUGAAAUCAUAUUAUUUAAUUAGUAUUGAUCAAGAAUUAAUUUGGAAUUAAUUUGGUGAUCAAAAGAGACUAUUUAAAUAGAUGAGGAUUGAUUAUGUAAAUCAUUAAUUCUUAUAAUGUGGGCUUAUGAUCCAUAGUUCUUUAUGUUGAGCUAAACCCAUAUGGUGACCUAUGGAUGAUCCAUGGAGGCUUAAACCCAUGGACCAUGAGGAAUAUGGAAGGUCAUGCACAUUAUGGUUUGCAUGGUGUAACACUAAUUAAGCCACACUAUAUAAGAACCUCUCUAGCUCAUGAAAUCGACACUUAAGUGAUAUACAAGAGAGCUAACCGAUUUUAAGAGUGGAAGUAACCUUCUCUCAAGUUCCUCCAUUGUUGGUGGUGUUGUGUGGUUCCAUUUGAGGUGCAACACUUAGGGCACUAAGUUCUUAAAGGAUUAAGGAAUCAAGCUACAAGAAAAAGUAUGUCAUUCUACUAGAUUUUUGUAUUACAUAUACUUCAUGGUAUGCUAGUUAGGAUGAAACCUUGGAAAAUGAAAGUUUGCAUUUAUAAUAGAGAAAACAUAGAUCGAAGGUUUCUAGGGUUGCGUGCGUACCUUAGGAGUGUUAGAAUGCUCAAAACCAUUCAGUGGUAUCAGAGACUAGGCUUGUUUUCCAUUAUACUUGAUGCUAGUUGUUUUUCAAUGUUAGAAAAUUUGGCAUUUUUUGCAUAUGACUGCUCACUACGACGUGGCAGCUUUUACCACGAUGUGGUGAUGCUUGUGGAUGCAGAAUUUCGAGUUUUAAGGCUGGAAUUGGACUAGGAUCAUUACCCUAAAUUGCUUCUUAUAAACCUGUAUUUUGAUAUGCUAAUGAUCAUGCUUAUCCAAUAUAAAAGAUAAUUGUCAAAGUUUCAUGUUUUGUAUUAGUUUAUAUGAUUAGGCUAAUUACAUGAAAUGUGUUUGUAAUGAAUUGUCUUGUUCUUAUGAGUUUAAUUUAGAUCCUAGGCAAAUUGUGUGUUUUUCCUUAUUAUAUUUUUUUUUAUCUGAAUGGUUUUGACAAAUUCCAUAACUUGUCCUCAAUUUACGGAAAAUGAAAAGUUUUCUUUUCAAUAGAUCAUUAAUAUCAUAGGUUAUGAACAUGAAGAGUCUUUUCCCCAUAAAUGCUUUUAUGAACUCCAUAACUUGUCCUCAAGUUAUGGAAUGUCAAGAGUCUUUUUAUAAAACCUAUAUUAAACUCAUUAGUUAUGGAUUCCAAAAGUUUUUGAAUAGUUCAAAACUUGCAUUCAAGUUUUGGAAUUUGUAAAUGCUAAGUCUUACUUUGAUACAUUUAGUUCCAAACCCUAGAAUUUUAAAAGUUUAAAAUUCAACCCUUAUAUUAUUAUAAUAUUAUAGGUUUAAUAUAUAUAUGUGACAAUCCGAUAUUUCGAGACAAUAUGAUGGAUCACAAGUCAGAUUUAAGUCAAAAUUUAACUUUCUUAAAAUCUUAUUUGGGUUAAAUAAGUAGUUGGAAUCGUAUCAAGGUUUUCAUACAUAUAAAGAACCCUAGAAUCCGAGUUAUAACGAAGAAGUUAUGACCAACCGAAGAUUCUCGGCAAAACCAGCAACACUGAUAGACGUAAAACGCGAGGUUUCAAUACAAUAAUUAUUAGCCUUAGGUAUCUAAAUGAAAGUUUAAGAUACCAUUAAACCGUAAACGUACAUAAAAAGAACGUCCAAAUCUGACUUCGUAUGUGGAAGCUAUGAUUUUUCUAAGUUACGGAUAUAGUAGUAGACAGCUAAAAAAUCGAAAUAGAGAUCGAGAGACUUUUAGCUGACACAAACUAAAUGAGAAUCGAAGGUCUCAACAAUAGAAGCGCAACGGUAAAAAUUUUGAUGGGAAUGGACGUCGGAUGAAGAAGUUAUGGAACUUUAACGGACUUUUCCUGCCCCGACCUAUUAAAAUAUAAUAUUAAAAAUAAAUUCAAGAUUUGCCGACAGAGUCUAAACGAAAGUUGUAGAUCGUAGUCUCACCUUCGCGUCGAUAUAAAGAACGUCGAAAACGGAGUUUGUAUGAGAAAGAUAUGAAUUUUUGAAGUUUACUAAAUAAUUAAAAUAUAAAUUAAAUUCAAAAUCCGGUAUUAUCCGAAGGAGGAGUCAUCGGACCAAUCCAGGUUACGCCCAGCGUACUCGGAUACUCGACCUCAAUCCGUCCACGUCGCUUCGAUACUUUGUCCGAGGAUGCAGUAAGCCAUGAUGUUGCGUACGCCCAGCGUACCCUCGUUAGUACGACCCGCGUACGCGAGGCUUUCAGCCCCUAUAAAAGGGAUGCGAGGGUGCCGGCCAUCUUUGCUCGUUUCCUUCCUUUCUCGCGUCGAUGCUCUGUGUUUCAACCCUCGGAGCCAUCCCAAAGUCCCGGUUUUCAUAUCCAAGUUGGGAAGGAAGUUUUAAGCUCUCAAGAAUCCCGAGAAAUCCGCUUGCUUGAGUAGAAGUUUUGCUCGGUUUUCGUCUCGCUUUCUUCAAUCUAUCAAAUGAGUUCAUACCCCUAUAAUCCACACUUUUAAAUGUUUUAUAAAUGCUUUUAUAUUCUUUUAAGGGGGGGGGGAAUACAAGUAAAACACACGAUUAUUAUCGUGUGUUAUAUAAAGUUUCAUUAUACGCUUUUUAUCAACAGAAUCAUAAGUGAUUUAUAACUAUUAUAGGGAAACUUUCGUAUGUAAAAUAUAUCCCGAUAACAUCUUAUCUUUUGAAAUGAAAAAUGUUGUUAUAUAUGUAUAAAUCAAACACUCUGCUUACACUGUAUGUAUAUGUGUCCAUCUUAGGCACUACAAAAAUUAUACUUUUCAUAACAAGUGAGCAUUUCACUAGGGAUUACUAUACAAACGAGACACACUUUUAGAAAACUAUAAUAAGUAUAGUUUUACGAGAACAUCAAGAACUUUUUCAUACUAGAAAUACUAUUUCAAGGAGAUACAUUCAUAUACAAGAACAAACGAACAUUUUCAUAUGUACUUCAAUUAGUUUUCACAAACCUUUUUACAUGUUAAAACACUUUUAGAAACUGUCUUACAAAUUGUAGGUUUCCUUUUUGAAUCUGUUAUAGUUGUGCUUCAAACCAAGGUUUUCUCACACUUAAACUGUCUUGUCAAACGGUUUUCGAUUCGAUUUAUAAACUAACAUCAAGUCAUAAAUUCUUAUUAAUUAAACUUUUCAAAGGUCUUACAAAACUUCUUUUAUACUUUUAUAUUAUAAAUUGCAUGCCUCUAUAUGUAUAGUUAUAUAAGAAAUGUUUAAAAGACUUAGGAAGGCUAUCCACCCUGUUUCCUUUUCCUCGAUUUGGAUGUGGUCUGGUGGGAUAUCGGGUACCCAUCCGAAGCUCGUUUAAAUAUUAGUUAUAUAUCAUGUGUACAUAUAUAGUCAUAAAUGUUCCAUCAGUUAAUUCAGUUCCGACACUCUUGGGUAGCAAGGGUGUAUAAACCUACUUCGACACUCAUCAAUUACAUUCUAGUAAACUAUUAUAGGAAUAGUUUAGUAGAUACAAAACAUUAUACCUAUUACAAGAAAUUACACCAGAUUCAGUUCAUUCAUGAUCUAAACUACAUGCUAUAUGAAGGGAUACUCUUACAGAGAUUCCUCUUACAUGGAUACACUUAUAGGGAUACUUUUACAUUGAUACUAUAUGAUAAGAAACUAUAAGGGACUAACCAUUCCUAAACCCGGCUGUUAGCAACAGAGGUAAAUGGAUAUCUACGGAUGUCUACGGUUGAUACCGUUACAGGUAUACUUACCGGACUAACCAUUCCGGAAGCCACCUGUUAGCAACAGAGGUAAUGAACAUCUACUGAUGCCUACGGUUAAUACUUAUACUAGGGAGACCUUUACGAGACUAACCAUUCCUUCAACCUGCUGUUAGCUACAGAGGAAAAUGAACAUCUACGGAUAAUCAAGGAGAAUAUGUUUCGGCAGUCGCGAUGUCGUGUUUAUCCUAAUACAAAAGGAGAAUACUUAUAUGGCUAUAUCCCUAUUACUUUUAUUUUGUGAUAAAUUCAUGUAAACGAUGAGGUAGACUAUAUAUUGUUAAUAGUAGUCAUAAAGGGGAAAACCAUCUUUGUUAUAGCAAAACAUACAAGUCUUGAUAGAGGACUACCUUCAAAACAAUCAGGUCUUGGUUAAAGACUAUUUUCAAAACAUUCCGGUCUUGGUAGAAGACUACUUUUUAUACUAAUAGAAAAUAUGGGAUUUUCUAGGAGUUUUUUUCAAAACAUAUACAAACAAUUACAUUGAACGAUUUCAAAUGUUAUCAUCAAACUUAUACGAACAAUGACAUUAAAUACUUAUGAACUCACCAGCUUAAAUGCUGACCUACACUUUCAAAAUAACUUGUAUUCUCAGGUCACCAAUAGACAGGUACGAUGACCAGGUUUUGCGAAGACGGAGUAGUCAAGACUCGUCUUUUAUUUUGAUUACUUGUUGUAAUGUCUUAUUACUAUGAAAGAACACACAUGUAUUAAACUAUUACUAUUAAUGCAAUGGAUGAUGUUGUUGCCUGUAUACUACUUCACAUUGUUGUGAUACAUACAUGACGUCCGCUGCCCUAGAACGUUUCCGCCGUUCUCAGUUUUGGGGUGUGNAUAUAUAUAUAUAUAUAUAAGAGUAAAGUCAGUGUUACCGUUAGUAGGUCUCAUUCACGAAGUUAGCCAAACGGUUUUGACAUGACAUUUAAAUUCUCAUUAAUAGUAUAAUGAAAUACCAAGUAACUAAACACUUAUAAAUUCCCAAAUCUUAGUUACUUAGGAAAAUGUGAAUAUGGUGCUAACCCAUGAAAUUGCACUUUGCACCUUGUUAAAUCCUUAGUAGAGCGUGUGUGGUUAACCGGGACAUUAAUAUGGACUGACAGUGCGUGGAAAAGGGUAGCUUGAUGUUUAUCAUAGAUCAAUGGAGCAUGUGUGGUUAACCGACACAAUGAUUAGGUGGUUGUAUCAUUGGCUGUAGCAAGCUAAUUUUCAAGGUUAUUCACACCUUGUUUGUGAUCCUCGGCAUCCCAGUCACAAACUUGAAGGGAGGAAUCGAGAUUUAAACAUGUCAUUGAAAGUUUCAAUGGAUCACAAAGGAUCUAGGAAUUUCAAUUCACUGAAAACCUAAAAUUCUUUUUCGUUUUUGGUGUUGGAGAUUGGUAAAUCGUCAUUUACCUACCUUCAAAUAUUCUGCAUUUUCCAUUACAGCAUCCCUCUUCCAAAAUAGUAAAAUAUUAUGUUGGGUCCUAGCCUUAAUAUUUCGUGUUGGGUGUUAUAUUAAGGACUUAAGUCAUCUGACUUGAAUUUCUCUAAAUGUAGAUGUCUAGUUUAGACAACUAUGGUCUUCUCGAAUCUUUUGAAAAAAAACUUUCUUUAUAAAGAGGAUUUUCCAAAAGGCAAUCAAGGUGAAACAUUAACCCCUUCUUCAUGCUAUAGUGGAACUUCACUUCCUCCACCUUCUCCAAUAAUUCUCCUUAACCCACAAGUUCUAAGUCACUCAAAGCCCUAUUGGCAGGGAGGAAAGUUUGUAUGUGCUCACGUCUUGGUGAUGAAGUUACAUAUUGACAAGUUGGGACAGUUUGGUCUCUAAGUCUCAAGGAAGUUGGUUGUUGACUGGGUUCUUCAAUAACUUCCGGAGUCAUAUAGUGAGUUUAUUAAGGACUACUAUGUGACAGACCACAACAUGAACCAUGUUGAUCUAACAUAUUUGCUAGUUGAUGCUGAAUCAACAAUGAUUUGGCGCACUGUUAAAGAAUUUUUUUUUGGAAGAUCUACUCCCCAAACUUCCAUGGACAUUGACAAUGGCAACAUUGGAUGUCCAGAAAAGCUUUUUCUUUCCAAAGGAAAGGGAUCGACCAUGGUCAAGUCAUUUGACCAAAUGGUAAAGAGAAAGGCUAGGUCUGAGAUAGUCAUGUGUACCAUUCCUAAAGUGUCCAUAUGUUUCUAUUGCCAAUAAAAGGGGCAUUGGUUGCGAAGCUGCCCUGACUACCUGAAAGAUCUGAGAAAAGGUAGAAUCGAAAUGUUUGACUCCGCUUCGAGUAAAUCUACUAUCUAACUCUAUUAAGUUCAUAAUUGUUGAUUCUUAACACAUGAUGUGACAAGGUUGCAUUUUGAUGUUUUGUAGGAUCAUGUAAAGGGAAGGAAGCUUAAAGGAAGAGUAUUCAGAAUCUGGUCGCAAAGAUGGAUUUCAAUUGCAUGGUUCGAUGAUCGGAUUUUUGAGUUGCUGCUUAAAAGUUGUGAUAGAUUGCUUAGAAAUAUGUAGUAACAUAGUUUUCAUUUGUAAUUGCAUUUUAAGGAAAAGUUUUCCCUCAUAUUUUAAAAUAAAUAAAAUUUUGUUUUAUUACAUCUCCUUGCAAUAGCAUUAGUGAAAAUUUAUGUUUGUAUGUGUCUAUGUUAGGAAUAUGGAUUUGAUUCUUUCGUUUGCGGUAGUGUGAAAGUUUACCAAAUAAGGAAAGAUUCUCAUCACACAAGUUUCAGUUGGAUAGAAACUUGGAAUCAUGCAACUUGUAGUGUGUGAUGGAUGAGAACCUUCAUCUUUGGGAAAUUAAGACUAAUUCCUUGUUCAGAUGAAUAUGUGAGUUAAGUGAAGGACUAGGGAUCGGGUACGCUGGGUGUGCACUAGUCAAGAUCCACCACAAAGAUCGAUAAAAUUGUUCGUCAUGGUUUACUAAAGUUUGGUAAAUAUGGUUAUGCUUACAAGUUUAAGUAUAUUUCUGAAAUAUUAGAAAAAGUUCAAUGUAUGGCAGAAUGAAUAAGAAGAAUCAAACUAGGUAGAAAGAUAAAAGUUUCUCCAAUCUGAAAAGUUGGGAGAGUACUUGAGUAUCAUGUUUUAUGACCAUCUUAAUGAUUAUGGAAAACCAUAUCACAAUUGAUCCUCUAAAGAUACCUUAGUGCAUUUGUAUGGCUAAGACGAGGUAUCGUGAAUUGUUGAAAUAGUUUAAAUCAAGAAGAUGAGUCAUACUUCGUUCCCAAAACAAGCCUUAGAGUCAUACUCCAAGAUUUUGCCUUGAGUGACAUUAAAUUAAGAAGGUUUAUAACACUUAACAAAUGUAGAGUAAAAUGGUUUUUGCUCAUUUACAUUUGAAAUUGGUAAGUUGUGAUGUCUUGGUAAGGACAAAGACCAACUAAGACCAAUUGUGUGAAGUCUUUAUCUUUAUAAGAAUCUGCACUAACUCUUGAAUAUUUGUUUGUCAAGGAAUGGUUCAUGAAAAGAGAAUCUUAUAUGUCAAGAGGUCAGUGGGAGUCUUAAAGAUCUAGACAAGUUUCAAGAACUAAUCAAGAAUAAACCUAAUGUUAAACACUAGCACAUGACUUGAGGUUUGUAACCUAUCGUGUUGCCAUAUUCUUGUUUCUGUGCCCGAUCCAGUUGGCUGACUAUGUAUGUGAGUUCUAUGAGUUCUCAGUUGUUUGCAUAACAACUUCGAAGCAAUGACAGACCCUUGUGCUUCCAGGUGACAAGAAAUUAAGAUUGAAAGAGUUCAGUCCAUAUGAGUUUGGAUUUUUCACUAACCAUGUCUUGUGAUUAUGGUUUUGACAAAUUCACAUGGAUAGGAACACAUACACCAUAAAAUCUAAGUGUCAUAAGGUUUCUCUCCAAUUCAUGAAAAUGAUUGUGAGAAAAUGCUUUGACAAAGUAAAUUUUAAGGAGAUAGCAAUUGUGAUAUUUGAAUUCUCCAAAUUCAAUUAUGGUUACGGCAUCCCUCUUAAUAAUUUGAAUCGUGAGAAAUGGAAAUGAGUCUAAAUAUUUGGAACUUAUUGUCGUAAGUUCUGAAUAGUUAAGACACACAUGUGACCUAUGUAAAGAAAGAUGUAUGCGUUUGAGAAGCCUAGAUAAAGUCUUAUCGAAACAUCUCGUAUCAAAAAUCUGAACCUUGGUAACAAAGUCAAUAAGUAUUGAUUUCUAGAAGUCCAACUGAUUUCUAAGUACAUGCCAAACCUAGUGGGAGCAUAAGUGUUAUGCUAGUAAGAUAAUUAUUUUCAUGCUAGUGGGAGCAUAAUUAUUAUGGUAAGUGUUGCAAGUUAGCAAUGUUAAUUAUAGAAAAAAAAGUUUCAAUUCGCAAAGUUGUGGGUUAGAAAAAGUUGUUUUUCUAUAAUUAAGGGAGAGAAAUUUAUACUUCAUUUCAAAAUCUAAAAGCUUAGAUUGAGGUUUCUAAUCAAAUUUANGGUUUGAAAUAAGGAAAUUCUAUAUACGGAAAUGUUAAUUGCGGUCUCAAAAUUUGAUUAUGAUUACGGCAUCCCUCUUCAUAAUCAAAAGUAUGAGAACAUGGCAAGUAGAAAUAUUAUAACAAAAGGCUGAUCAAGUAUCAUGUCUUUGUUGGAUUAAUGUAUAAGUCCAUAACUAUAAUUGGUGAGACUUGACUCGACCCGGCAUGGUCCAUUUGGGUUGCAUGGCAUCAUGCACUUGGAUAGACUUGAAUGAGAGAAAUAAGACACUUAUGGUUAUUAAUAUAUUAUAAGUUCUAGUAUAUUAAUAAUAAGAUUAAUAAGAUUAUUUAAUUAGUAUUGAUCAAUAAUUAAUCUAGGAUUAAUUAAGUGAUCAAAAGAAGACUAAUUAAAUAUAUGGGUUGAUUGUGUAAAUCAUCCAUACUUAUAUAGUGGGCUAAUGCUCCAUGGAUUAUCUAGAUGGGCUAAAACCCGUAUGAUGCUUCAUGGAUGCUCCAUGGUGUUUUUGUACCCAUGGAUCAUGUAAAUGAAAUGCCAUGUCAAUUAGGGUGUACAUGGUGUAACCCUAACUAUAUAUGUAUCUUAUUCUUGACCAAAAUCGGCACUAGUAUCAUUCUAGAGAAGGGCUAGCCGAUUUCAAGUGUUUUACAUUUCUCUCAAGGUUAGUCCAAAAGAAAUUGGUGUUGUGUAAACCAUUUGAGGUGUCACACUUGGGGCACUAGGUACUCAAGCUUCAUGAAGACAUUCUACAUCAAAGAGGUAUGUAAUUCUAACUUGAUAUAUUCAUAUGAUUCAAUGUUAUUAUGCUAGUUAGGAUGAAUACCUUGGAAAGUUCAUAUUUGCAUGUAUAAUAGAGAAAACAUAGAUCCAGGGUAUUUAGGGUUGCAUGUACACUUAGGAGUGUUAGAAUGCUCAAAACCCAACAGUGGUAUCAGAGACUAGGCUUGUUUUCUUGUUAUAGUUGCAAAAUUGGCUGGAAAAUCGAGUUUUUAUGAGUCUGGCCAUCAGACUCGGCGAGUCCAUCAGGAGACUCGNNNNNNNNNNNNNNNNNNNNNNNNNNNNNNNNNNNNNNNNNNNNNNNNNNNNNNNNNNNNNNNNNNNNNNNNNNNNNNNNNNNNNNNNNNNNNNNNNNNNNNNNNNNNNNNNNNNNNNNNNNNNNNNNNNNNNNNNNNNNNNNNNNNNNNNNNNNNNNNNNNNNNNNNNNNNNNNNNNNNNNNNNNNNNNNNNNNNNNNNNNNNNNNNNNNNNNNNNNNNNNNNNNNNNNNNNNNNNNNNNNNNNNNNNNNNNNNNNNNNNNNNNNNNNNNNNNNNNNNNNNNNNNNNNNNNNNNNNNNNNNNNNNNNNNNNNNNNNNNNNNNNNNNNNNNNNNNNNNNNNNNNNNNNNNNNNNNNNNNNNNNNNNNNNNNNNNNNNNNNNNNNNNNNNNNNNNNNNNNNNNNNNNNNNNNNNNNNNNNNNNNNNNNNNNNNNNNNNNNNNNNNNNNNNNNNNNNNNNNNNNNNNNNNNNNNNNNNNNNNNNNNNNNNNNNNNNNNNNNNNNNNNNNNNNNNNNNNNNNNNNNNNNNNNNNNNNNNNNNNNNNNNNNNNNNNNNNNNNNNNNNNNNNNNNNNNNNNNNNNNNNNNNNNNNNNNNNNNNNNNNNNNNNNNNNNNNNNNNNNNNNNNNNNNNNNNNNNNNNNNNNNNNNNNNNNNNNNNNNNNNNNNNNNNNNNNNNNNNNNNNNNNNNNNNNNNNNNNNNNNNNNNNNNNNNNNNNNNNNNNNNNNNNNNNNNNNNNNNNNNNNNNNNNNNNNNNNNNNNNNNNNNNNNNNNNNNNNNNNNNNNNNNNNNNNNNNNNNNNNNNNNNNNNNNNNNNNNNNNNNNNNNNNNNNNNNNNNNAAUACCCAAUCUUAGUUACUUAGGAAAAUGUGAAUAAGGUGCUAAUCCAUGAAAUUACACUUUGCACUUUGUUUAAGUCGGUUAGUGGAGCGUGUGUGGUUAACCGGCACACUAACUCGUAUUUAACAAGGUAGGCAAAGGGUAACUUAAUGUUUAUCAUAGUAUCGAUGGAGCGUGUGUGGUUAACCGGCACAUCGAUUGAGGGGUAAACACUUAAGGGUACCAAGUAAUUUGCAUGGUUACUUCACACCUUGUUUUGUGAUCCUCGGCAUCCCAGUCACAAAACCUGAAGGGCACACUCGAGAUUGAAACAUGCCAUUGAAAAGUUCAAUGAAUCUCAAAAGAUCUAGGAGUUUAAAAUCCAAUUAAAACCUAAUAAUACAUUUCGUUUAUCUUGGUGGAAAUUGGUGAAUCAUCAUUCACCUACCUUCAAAUAUUUUAUAGCUUGGAUUACGGCAUCCUUCUUCCAAGUUAUAAAAGUAUUAUGUUGGGUCCUAGCCUUAAUAUUUCAUAUUGGGUGUUAUAUUAAGGACUUUAAAUCAACUAUCUUGAAUAUCUCCCAAAAGAUGUCUAGUUUAGACAUCUAUGAUCUUCCCAAAUCUCUUGAAACAAGCUUUCCUAAAUGAAGAUGAUGUCCCAUGGAAAUCAUACUUCUUUCACCUCCUCCAAUUAUUCUCCCUAACCCACAAGUUCUUGAAAAGUUUAAGGUCACUCAAGCCCUAUUGGCAAGUAAAGGUCUAUGUGUGAUCACAUCUUGGAGAUGUAGUCACACAUUGACAAGCCGGGAGAGUUGGGUGUCAAAGUCUUGAGAAAGUUGGUGGCUCAACUACUUUCUAAGUCACAUAGCGAGUUACUUUAAGACUCCUAUGAAACCGACUAUGACAAGACCCUUAAUGAUCUUAUCUAUUUGCUAAGAUCAGCUUCCUAAAACUUGUGGACAUUGACAACAAUGACAUUGGAUAUACAUUAAAGCUCUCUCUUCCCAAUGGAAAGGGAUCAGCCAUAGUCAACCCGGUUGACCAAAUGGUAAAGAGAAAGGCUAAGUCUGUGAUAGUCCCAUUUCCAUUACCAAAGCGUCCAUAUGUUAAAUUGACAAAGGAAGGGGCAUUGGUUACGAAGCUGCCAAUUUACCUAUGGGUGUUAAAGUCAUUAAGUUUGACUCUACUUCAGGUAAAGUCCACUAUCUAACUCUACCAAGUUUCUCUUCUGAGAUUCUUGAUACAUGAUGUGACUGGGUCACAUGGUAAUGUUUUAAAAAUCAAAGAAAAGUGAAGAAACUUAAAGAAAGAAUAUGUUGAAUCUGAUCACGUAGAUGGAUUUCUAUCGCAUAGUUUGAACAUCAGAUUCUUGAGCUACUUCUUAGGAGUUAUGAGAUAUUGCUUAGGAAUAGAUAACAACAUGUUGUCAUACGGAUUGUAAGGAUAAGUUUUUCCGCAAAGUUUUUAAAAAAUAAAAGGAAAUUUUUUAAUUUAUUUAUUUUAUGUACCCUUACAAUGGCGUUUGUGAAAAAAUUGUUGCUUAUAUGACUCCAUUAAUAGCAAGAGUGGAAAUAUGAAUUUGAUUUUGUCAUUUGUGGUAGUGUCUAAAUUUACCAAAUAAGGAAAGUUUCUCAUAACCCAAGUUUCAGUUGGAUAGAAACUUGGAAUCAUGCAAGUUGUAUAGCAUGAUGAAUGAGAACUUUCAAGCAUUGGAAAAUUAAGACUAACUACUUGUCCACAUGGAUGUGUGAGUCAAGUAAAGGACUAAGGGAUCGAGUACACAUUCUUGUGAACUGAUUAAGUCCACCACAAAAGAUUGUUAAGAUUAUUCGUCAUAAUUUACUAAAGCUCAGUAAAUAUGGUUAUACUUACAAGCUUAAGUGUAAUUCUGAGACAUUGGAAAAGGUUCCAAUGUAUGGUAGAGCG